UACGGAGGGUGCGAGCGUUAAUCGGAUUUACUGGGCGUAAAGCGUGCGCAGGCGGUUUGUUAAGCGAGAUGUGAAAGCCCCGGGCUCAACCUGGGAACCGCAUUUCGAACUGGCAAACUAGAGUCUUGUAGAGGGGGGUAGAAUUCCAGGUGUAGCGGUGAAAUGCGUAGAGAUCUGGAGGAAUACCGGUGGCGAAGGCGGCCCCCUGGACAAAGACUGACGCUCAGGCACGAAAGCGUGGGGAGCAAACAGG
Molecule: ribosomal RNA, 253 nt
Filed under: uncultured microorganism
Description: partial 16S ribosomal RNA
Rfam family: Bacterial small subunit ribosomal RNA
Source: RNAcentral